Molecule: ribosomal RNA, 216 nt
Filed under: Triticum aestivum (bread wheat)
Lineage: Eukaryota; Viridiplantae; Streptophyta; Magnoliopsida; Poales; Poaceae
Description: partial small subunit ribosomal RNA
Source: RNAcentral
AUGACCAAAGCAAAAAGAGAUGGUGGUAUAGGAUUUCGGGAUAUGCAUUGUUUCAACCAGGCCCUCCUGGCUAGGCAAGGGUGGAGGCUGCUUACUAAACCAGAGAGCCUAUGCGCAAGAGUUCUAAAAUCUAAAUACUACCCCAAUGGAAAACUCCUCGACACGGUUUUCUCAUCAGAUGCCUCUCCGGCAUGGAGGGGGAUCGAGUUUGGACUC